RNAcentral lists this transfer RNA (73 nucleotides) under Nanobdellota archaeon. RNAcentral's name for it is "tRNA-Gln". It matches the Rfam family "tRNA". From Rfam's summary of the family: Transfer RNA (tRNA) molecules are approximately 80 nucleotides in length. The record is from RNAcentral. Lineage: Archaea; Nanobdellati; Nanobdellota.
AGCCCCAUGGUCAAGCGGUCUACGAUUCGGCCCUCUGGAGGCCGAGACCCAGGUUCGAAUCCUGGUGGGGCUA